Molecule: ribosomal RNA, 253 nt
Filed under: uncultured bacterium
Lineage: Bacteria
Description: partial 16S ribosomal RNA
Rfam family: Bacterial small subunit ribosomal RNA
Source: RNAcentral
UACGUAGGUGGCGAGCGUUGUCCGGAUUUACUGGGCGUAAAGAGCGCGCAGGCGGUCGUAUAAGUCGCGUGUGAAAGCCCCCGGCUCAACUGGGGAGGGUCACGCGAUACUGUUCGACUCGAAGGCAGGAGAGGGAGGUGGAAUUCCCGGUGUAGUGGUGAAAUGCGUAGAUAUCGGGAGGAACACCAGUGGCGAAGGCGACUUCCUGGCCUGUUCUUGACGCUGAGGCGCGAAAGCUAGGGUAGCAAACGGG